GAUGAACGCUGGCGGCGUGCCUAAUACAUGCAAGUCGAGCGAACAGACGAGGAGCUUGCUCCUCUGACGUUAGCGGCGGACGGGUGAGUAACACGUGGAUAACCUACCUAUAAGACUGGGGUAACUUCGGGAAACCGGAGCUAAUACCGGAUAAUAUAUUGAACCGCAUGGUUCAAUAGUGAAAGACGGUUUUGCUGUCACUUAUAGAUGGAUCCGCGCCGCAUUAGCUAGUUGGUAAGGUAACGGCUUACCAAGGCAACGAUGCGUAGCCGACCUGAGAGGGUGAUCGGCCACACUGGAACUGAGACACGGUCCAGACGCCUACGGGAGGCAGCAGUAGGGAAUCUUCCGCAAGGGGCGAAAGCUUGACGGAGCAACGCCGCGUGAGUGAUGAAGGUCUUCGGAUCGUAAAACUCUGUUAUUAGGGAAGAACAAAUGUGUAAGUAACUAUGCACGUCUUGACGGUACCUAAUCAGAAAGCCACGGCUAACUACGU
Molecule: ribosomal RNA, 496 nt
Filed under: uncultured bacterium
Lineage: Bacteria
Description: partial 16S ribosomal RNA
Rfam family: Bacterial small subunit ribosomal RNA
Source: RNAcentral